RNAcentral lists this transfer RNA (72 nucleotides) under Ovis aries (sheep). It matches the Rfam family "tRNA". Rfam says of the family: Transfer RNA (tRNA) molecules are approximately 80 nucleotides in length. Their secondary structure includes four short double-helical elements and three loops (D, anti-codon, and T loops). The record is from Rfam by way of RNAcentral. Lineage: Eukaryota; Metazoa; Chordata; Mammalia; Artiodactyla; Bovidae.
UUCUUAGUGGCUCAGAUGGUAGAGAAUCUGCCUGCAAUGCAGGAGACCCAGGUUCAACCCCUGGGUCAGAAA